Molecule: ribosomal RNA, 465 nt
Filed under: uncultured bacterium
Lineage: Bacteria
Description: partial 16S ribosomal RNA
Rfam family: Bacterial small subunit ribosomal RNA
Source: RNAcentral
CCUACGGGAGGCAGCAGUAGGGAAUCUUCCACAAUGGGCGAAAGCCUGAUGGAGCAACGCCGCGUGGGUGAAGAAGGUCUUCGGAUCGUAAAACCCUGUUGUUAGAGAAGAAAGUGCGUGAGAGUAACUGUUCACGUUUCGACGGUAUCUAACCAGAAAGCCACGGCUAACUACGUGCCAGCAGCCGCGGUAAUACGUAGGUGGCAAGCGUUAUCCGGAUUUAUUGGGCGUAAAGGGAACGCAGGCGGUCUUUUAAGUCUGAUUUGAAAGCUUUCGGCUUAACCGGAGUAGUGCAUUGGAAACUGGGAGACUUGAGUGCAGAAGAGGAGAGUGGAACUCCAUGUGUAGCGGUGAAAUGCGUAGAUAUAUGGAAGAACACCAGUGGCGAAAGCGGCUCUCUGGUCUGUAACUGACGCUGAGGUUCGAAAGCGUGGGUAGCAAACAGGAUUAGAUACCCGGGUAGUC